Long non-coding RNA from Orcinus orca (killer whale), 3544 nucleotides. RefSeq lists it as uncharacterized. The record is from RefSeq and is a predicted model, not a curated record. The transcript is spliced from 2 exons. NCBI's taxonomy places the organism in Eukaryota, Metazoa, Chordata, Mammalia, Artiodactyla, Delphinidae.
GCCUGCGUGCUCUCGGGGUGGGGUGGGGUGGGGACCUCCGUCAGGCUGGUGACUGAUGAGGGUCCCUGCCUCAGCCCACCGCUGCCAUCUAGCGGCGCUGAUCCCCUAGAUUCCCGCCCUGCUGGCCGAGACACUCUGAGAUUUCUAGGUCUUGGCUUAAGAGAGACAUACCACAGGCUACAAAGGGGGAAACGAGGAGAGGCAGCUUUAACUAGUUACCUCAACACUAGGAACGUACAUUCUAUACAAGUUCCAAUUUGUAUUUCUUUGAAGAAAGCUAUGAAAAUGACGACUAUUACCCAGUCUGGACAAAUCAGAACUGUUAGUAACACUCUCAGUGUUCCCUUGGAUCUGCGGUGGGAACAGUCCCAGAGGAAGAGGAAGCCUCAGCUACCAUCAUCCUAGCUGCCAACAAUGAGUCUGAGGGUGCGGCCUUCUGCACUCCCUCCUCUGUGACAAAUAACAGCAAAGCAAAGGUGAACGUUCUACCUGAAAGUUUUAAAAACCUAAGGCCCUCUAUGACCUCGAAUUAUGUAGAGGGUUAAUUUUUAUUGGACCUUUUGUGGUUACUUGACCUGGGCCACUCUGGGAAGAGACCUCACUCGGUGCUCUUCCUGGGUCCCAGUUUUCAAAAGAGCAUAACUGUGUGAGACGGGCCUUUAGGUCGCAGCGACCCUCCACAGUAGGCAUCACAGCUACCUCUGGAGCUUGGCUAGGCAGGCUCGUGGGGACGCAGAGCUUCACAGGAUUUCGUCCUUGUGCCACGACUUAGUCCUUCAACUCUGAGCAUCAUGGCCCCCUUUUCCGUUUGGGGACACUCAGCUGCAGAGACGGACCUGCCAGAGGACACAGCCAGAAAACGAGAGCCGGGCUGGGAGCCGAGCCCCGACUUCCUCCGGAAGUGCCGACGGGGACACCUCGGGCGUGGGGACAACGAUUUGAUGUACUUUCCACAUGGGUGAGUUUGUUUCUACAUCUGACGCUCACCCUGGGAGAGGUUCCCGGGACUUACCUGCGACCACGAGUUCCAGGCUGAAGGAGUUGUGUCCAGCCCGGUUGGUGGCCAUGCACGUGUAGACACCGGCGUCCCGGGCCGUGACGGGCUCGAUGAUCAGAGAGUGCACCCCGUUCUCUCGCACCAGCAUCUUGUGGGUGCUGUCCUGGCGGAUGGGCUUGCCGUCCAGCAGCCAGCUGAGAUCGGGGGUUGGCAGCCCACUGACCUAAACCGGGAAGAAAUGCGAAUGAAUUCCUCUGCUACGGAAACAGCGAAGUCACGAACACCUAAGACACCGGCACAGACUCCUCCUUCAGGACAACAUGAGGCUCUUAGCAUCAGGUCACGUUUCUUACUUACUUAUUUAUUUUUGGCUGCGUUGGGUCUUUGUUGCAGUGCGCGGGCUUCUCUUGUUGCGGAGCACGGGCUCUAGGCGCAUGGGCUUCAGUAGUUGUGGCACGUGGGCUCAGUAGUUAUGGCUCGUGGGCUCUAGAGCACAGGCUCAGUAGUUGUGGUGCACGGGCUUAGUUGCUCCGUGGCAUGUGGGAUCUUCCCGGACCAGGGCUUGAACCCGUGUCCCCUGCAUUGGCGGGCGGAUUCUUAACCACUGCACCACCACCAGGGAAGCCCACAUUUCUCUUUUGCUUAAAAUCUUUGAAUAGCUUCUCGGCACACACGGGCUCACUUCUAAACAUUUCUUAUAGAGCAACCCAGAGAAAAGUGAGAUGGGGACUAAAAACAUUCGCCAUCGUCCUUCCUCACCCAGGUUAUAGAUGCUGAGGGUGACGUCAGCCCAGGGCUCUGAGCCCUUCCAACCAUGACAAGGACUCACACUCAGCUCGCACGGCUCACGACAAAGCCUCUCAUCAAGGCUGCUGUAGCUGCGGAGACAUUAGUUAAUGCAGCCAUUAAGACACAGGGCUGUUAUUAUUUUAUAAUCCUUCAAAGUAAGUAAUAGGAGACAUACGAAAUGACCCAGAAAGCAUCUCAACAAAUUAGCCUCACAACGGAAACGUUAAAAAAAACCACCACUCUCCAGACCACGACAGUCGUGCUGACCAGAGAUCAGACAAAAGCACGUUGAACGGCUAACGGCAUGGCGUGCAGUGAGGGGAGGGGUGGCCACCGUCUGUCAGCUCUUCACUCUAGGGCCCUGCAUUCUGAACGGGAAGAAGAGCACCAGUAAGGAAGGCCCUUUCACCCCUACCCCAAAGGCACCAGUGGGAAAUCACAUACGGAAAGAUGUCAGUGGGACUGCAAACCAAUUCUUUUGAGAAUCAGCUCUGCCAAAAUCCGCCAGAGAACUCACAAUUGCACUCGUGCUGUGUGACGCUCACGUAUACUGCCCCCAGGAUGCCUCACCCCCCAACAGACACACACAGCAAAGGCCCAGGGAUUUACACAAAAACAAUUAAAUCACUGGCUAAAAGCGGGCCAGGCUCUGCAGCCUCCCAUCCGUCCACCUGCCGCCCCGGCGCUCCACGCCCGCUCUACCUGUCGGGCCAGCACAGGUGCACGGAGGAAGGGGGUGGGCUUUCCCGCCCGGGGCUGCACACCUGGCCCUCUGGGCCGGUCAGGUACCGGCGAGGCCGCAGCAGGUUUAGGAGGGAGACGCCGCACGCACUCUGGGCCCACCUGGGCCAGAGCUGCGCGGCCGGGCAGAGGGGAAGGCCGAGUCCUCUCCCUCUGAGGCCAGCAAGGCGAGCCUGACCUCAGGAACUGGGUCACUGUAAGCAGGCCCCAGCCUGGACAGGUGGGCGGCUCUGGCUGCCGUGGGAACGGGGGGAAGCAGAGGCGUUUACUCCCGGAGGCCGAGAGCUGGCCGGGGCAGUCAGUGCCCGGGGAGCGAGUCGGGGGCCCAGCAGCUGCCUUAGCGACUGGCCUGUUCCCAUGAUUCUUCUUUCCCUCUUAAAGCGUAAAUACACUGGAAAAGAUUUUCCACAUUUGUCCAGGUCGGAUCAUAACAGUAAAAUCAACGGAUUACCUUUUGUUUCCAAUAUUCUCUUAAAGGCAGGCAUUUCAAGGACAGCUGUGUCACUCGCAGAAAAAUAAAGUGCUAUGAUUUCUUUCUUAAAUGUGAUCAAAAGUAGAGCCAACAGUAUUGUGAACCUCCAUGUAGCCAUCACCUACAUUCACUCUCUUCUGUAAUUUUUCAUAUUUUAAAAAUAGACCCCAAGCUUUAUACUUGCUACUUUAUGAAGUAUCAUUCUAAAAGAACAGAUUCUUCUUACAUAGUCACAGUUCCCAUUUUAUACAUAAAACUAAAAUUAAUAGUAAUCCCUUGGCAUCAUCUAAUUUUCUCAAAGAAAAUUUCCCCUGUGGACUCAAAUGUCAUUUUACGGGUGGUCUGUAUGAAUUCUCAGUUACAGACCCCAAAUAAAUACACACAUAUAAAUAUAUACACACUGUAUAUAUAUAAACUCAAUCUGUAUACUUAUACUGUAAAAAGAAUUAUGUUGCAAACACUGCAGCUGACAAGGGAUUAAUCUCCAAAAUGUACAAGGAGCUCACGUGGCUCAAUAACAAAAAAAACAAAAAACAAACAACAAC